AAUAUUGCACAAUGGGCGCAAGCCUGAUGCAGCCAUGCCGCGUGUGUGAAGAAGGCCUUCGGGUUGUAAAGCACUUUCAGUUGUGAGGAAGGUGGUGUCGUUAAUAGCGGCAUCAUUUGACGUUAGCAACAGAAGAAGCACCGGCUAACUCCGUGCCAGCAGCCGCGGUAAUACGGAGGGUGCGAGCGUUAAUCGGAAUUACUGGGCGUAAAGCGCAUGCAGGUGGUUUGUUAAGUCAGAUGUGAAAGCCCGGGGCUCAACCUCGGAACUGCAUUUGAAACUGGCAGACUAGAGUACUGUAGAGGGGGUAGAAUUUCAGGUGUAGCGGUGAAAUGCGUAGAGAUCUGAAGGAAUACCGGUGGCGAAGGCGGCCCCCUGGACAGAUACUGACACUCAGAUGCGAAAGCGUGGGGAGCAAACAGGAUUAGAUACCCUGGGAG
This 440-nucleotide ribosomal RNA is filed under the name uncultured bacterium. RNAcentral describes it as "bacterial SSU rRNA". It matches the Rfam family "Bacterial small subunit ribosomal RNA", at positions 360 to 793 of the family's 1533-position model. The record is from RNAcentral.